AUGGACCUGUUAGAGGUCUUUCUCCAAAGGCGCAUCCAACCGCUCCAGGCGCGAGACCAUACGAUGUGGCUGUAUUCUGGCCUUGACGACACCACUCGGAUCCACCCGGAGGAGGUCACCGAUGAGAUGCUGGAGGGGUGGCUGUCAAGCAUCACGGGGAACAAAGACAACCCUCGAGGAGCCAGAAGGGUGAUUCCACUCGACAACUCAUAUGAAGUGGAUCAGGUAUGUCUUUGUGUCGGAUAUCUGGCCUUCUGUAUUAGUCUUCUUUGUGUAAGUCGACUGACUUUCGUCCUGUCCGUUGUCCUCCAGGCUACCACUGAGAUGUACUCGACGCCCAACGGGGCACAAGGGCCGACCGAGGAAGGUGAGGGGAGCAGAGGCGAGAGCGGGGACGACCAGGUCGAGUGGGAGUCCGACGGUGAGGGAGAGGAGGGCGACGGCAUCUUCUCCAGUGAGGAGGAGGAGGAGGCUGAACCCUCCCGCCCGGAGGGACGGUCCAAGCUCGCCCACGAUCUAGCGCAGGAACGUGGCAAGGCGGCCGCUCCUGUUGGGCAGUCGUCGAAACGCCCUCGGACUUCUUCUCCUCCGCUGACCGGGAAGGCUCCCAAGCACCCGCGAACGGCGCCAUCUAAGCCGCCCAAGGCCUUGCCCAAAAUGAAGAUAGCUGUUCCCACCAUUUCGGGGUAA
This 690-nucleotide ribosomal RNA is filed under the name Triticum aestivum (bread wheat). RNAcentral describes it as "partial small subunit ribosomal RNA". Lineage: Eukaryota; Viridiplantae; Streptophyta; Magnoliopsida; Poales; Poaceae. The record is from RNAcentral.